AACGAACGCUGGCGGCAUGCCUAACACAUGCAAGUCGAGCGGGACAUUCGGGUUUAGUGGCGCACGGGGGCGUAGAGGGGGGGACAAUGCCCAUGAGUUCGGAAUAACUCCCCGAAAGGGGUGCUAAUACGGGCUAAUAUAUUCGGACCAAAGAGUUGUCGCGUUUGGGGGGGCCCGGGAUGCCUUAGCUAGUUGGGAGGGUAAAAGCCUCCCACGGGGACGAGCGAUAGAGGGUCUGAGAGGAAGGUCAGCGACACUGGGAGGAGGACACGGUCCAGACUCCUACGGGAUGCAGCAGUGCCUGAUAUUGCACUGCCGGCUGAAGCCUGAUCCAGCUAGGCCGCUUGAGCGAUGUAGGCCGUGGGGAUGUAAAGCUCUUUUACCCCUGAUUAUAAUGACAUUACCGGGAGAAUAAGCUCCGGCUAACUCCGUG
RNAcentral lists this ribosomal RNA (433 nucleotides) under uncultured bacterium. Its description in RNAcentral is "partial 16S ribosomal RNA". It matches the Rfam family "Bacterial small subunit ribosomal RNA", at positions 29 to 507 of the family's 1533-position model. The record is from RNAcentral.